UUUCUCUCAGGCAUCGACAUUUCAAUUUUCCAAACAAUCUAAUACCAGCAUACCCAAAAUAAUAUCAUUAUUUCACAAAAGACAAUUACGCUCUAUUUUACAGUUUUUUGCUGAGAAAAUGAGCAGAAUGAAAGGUCAAUUUUCCUAGACUAUAGCGUUGUAUGUUUUUUUUUUGCCUUAGCAAUUAUCAUUUUUGUUUGAAUAGAC
This 207-nucleotide long non-coding RNA is filed under the name Nicotiana benthamiana. RNAcentral's name for it is "long non-coding RNA (NBEN_LNC008318)". The record is from RNAcentral. Lineage: Eukaryota; Viridiplantae; Streptophyta; Magnoliopsida; Solanales; Solanaceae.